Molecule: ribosomal RNA, 580 nt
Filed under: uncultured Alphaproteobacteria bacterium
Lineage: Bacteria; Pseudomonadati; Pseudomonadota; Alphaproteobacteria
Description: bacterial SSU rRNA
Rfam family: Bacterial small subunit ribosomal RNA
Source: RNAcentral
GUAAACGAUGUGUGUUAGACGUUGGAAAUUUAUUUUCAGUGUCGCAGCGAAAGCGAUAAACACACCGCCUGGGGAGUACGACCGCAAGGUUAAAACUCAAAUGAAUUGACGGGGACCCGCACAAGUAGUGGAGCAUGUGGUUUAAUUCGAAGAUACGCGCAGAACCUUACCAACACUUGACAUGUUCGUCGCGACUUUAAGAGAUUAAAGUUUUCGGUUCGGCCGGACGAAACACAGGUGCUGCAUGGCUGUCGUCAGCUCGUGUCGUGAGAUGUUGGGUUAAGUCCCGCAACGAGCGCAACCCUCACUUUUAGUUGCCAUCAUUUAGUUGGGCACUCUGAAAGAACUGCCAGUGAUAAGCUGGAGGAAGGUGGGGAUGACGUCAAGUCCUCAUGGCCCUUACGUGUUGGGCUACACACGUGCUACAAUGGUAUCUACAACAGGAAACAAAACUGCGAGGUUAAGCAAAUCCUAAAAAGAUACCUCAGUUCGGAUUGCACUCUGCAACUCGAGUGCAUGAAGCUGGAAUUACUAGUAAUCGUGGAUCAGCGUGCCACGGUGAAUGCGUUCCCGGGUCCCU